Non-coding RNA from Pelobates cultripes (western spadefoot toad), 235 nucleotides. NCBI's taxonomy places the organism in Eukaryota, Metazoa, Chordata, Amphibia, Anura, Pelobatidae. The record is from the annotation of a GenBank genome assembly.
UGGUAAAUCAAUGCAACUGAACGUACCUAGUAUGUGUUUAACACUACAUGAUGUUUUAUACCUAUUAUAGUAACAGAAGGAACUUACCUUUACCUUAUAGUACCUGCCACAAUACUGCUUAAUACGUAUAAUUGUGCAGGCCUCACAGAUUAAAUGUGCAAGCUCUUUAAACUUGUAUUGUAUAAGUAACCAAUAAUAAGACAGGUUUCCAAUUCUAGACAAUACUAAUUCUAAG